RNAcentral lists this transfer RNA (68 nucleotides) under Trichonephila inaurata madagascariensis. RNAcentral describes it as "tRNA-Thr". The record is from RNAcentral. Lineage: Eukaryota; Metazoa; Arthropoda; Arachnida; Araneae; Nephilidae.
GCCAGUAUAGUGGAUAUGACCAUCGGUUAGUAACCGAGUGGGUUCGGGUUAGAAUCCCGAAUAAGGCA